This is a long non-coding RNA of Cryptotermes secundus, 333 nucleotides long. RefSeq lists it as uncharacterized. Lineage: Eukaryota; Metazoa; Arthropoda; Insecta; Blattodea; Kalotermitidae. The record is from RefSeq and is a predicted model, not a curated record. The transcript has 3 exons.
AUAGGAACACAAAGAGCUGAAAUGUGUCGUUGCGAGCCUCGCUUGACAGUCUGAACCGGAAGUGACAACAGAAUAUCCCGGAGUAACGUCAAUAUGGGCAGCGUCAUUCAGUGCCACAUACUUCACCUCUCCGGUCGCAUCAGAGCUGAAGAAACUCUUCUGUAUGUGUGAAACUCACAGCGCCUUAUGUCGGCUGCCCUGAAUCCGAAGGAAGUGAAGUGCAGCUCAACAAUGCAGCUAACAAUUGCAGUUUCAACAUCAGAGUUCAAACUGAACGCCAGUCACCGUUUCAAAAUUAGAAAUUUCUUCGCUGGAGGUGAAUUCAAGAGCCCU